GUGCCCUCAAGCGAGAACCUCUCGCACACACAACUCGCAGAGCAGAUCCAUUCGCCGCCGCCUAUCCCUGGGCUACCUACAUCCCUUCGCCACCACCCUCCCAUCAAGCCACCGCCGAUCCUGGAGCUACCUCCAUCCCUUCGCCGCCGCCCUCCCAUCAAGAUGCUGACGAUCCUGGAGCCAUCUACCCCUGGAUCCCUUUGUGGGUGCCGAUCCUGUCGAGGAGCUGCCGCUGAUCCCAUUCAGGAGCCAAAGCUGAUCCCCUUCAGGAGCCUGCGUUGAUCCCCUUCAGGAGCCGCCGACGAGAUCGGACCAGCGAGUUCAAAGGAGCUGUUGUCUGAUAGGUACGUAUGGGGAAUUCAAAAAGCAAGGCAAGUGAACAUUAACCAGACAAAGACGUACCUACAGGCCAUAUGGAUGGGACAAAUGUUGACGAUAGUUACUCACUGGAUCCAGGCAACAACACAUCAGAUGGAUCCAGUUUGCUACGAGUAGGAGUGCAUCAUGAUGCUUCGUUGCCGUCUCUGAGUAAUCUCACACUGGUUUAUGGCAUAGAUGUACCAUAAAAUUCAAAUGGUUCUGGUCAUAUGUAUGAGGGGAAUCAGGUAGGGCUUGAUGCGAGUGGGAGUGAAUGUCCAAUGUCUACUUCAACAUCCAAGCACCAGACAACCGGAGUUGUCUUGAGUGAUAAUGCAAGGGAGCACAUUAAUACCCGCACGCGAGCUGAUUAUCGGAAGAAAAAUGAUGAGUGUAUAGUCAAGGUCCAUUUUGAAGAUCAACCUUCACUUGCGAUAUCUGAAUUAUCUAGCGUGCCACAUUAUAAAGAAGAUAAAAGGGAGCUUAUAAACGCACGAAGGCGAGCAUCUUAUCGGAAGAAAAAGGAAGGUACGACCGAAUUACAACAUGAUGUGAAAAGUAUUCCCCAGCAUGCUCUCCUUCAUAUCGAUAAUGUUGAUCCACCUUCCAAUGCGAUGUCAGGUACACUUUUCAUUGACAAUAUAUGUUUUCAGAAGCGUUUGGACACGUUUGGUUCAUUUUCCUUCAUACAUUGUGCUGCUUUCUGGGCUUUCUGGAUUGUUAUUUUUACAUGAUGCAGACGACCCAACGGUCUCAUACAUGCCCACGACCAUGCUAGGGUUUGGUCAGACACCGCCGCCGAUCCAUUCAUGACAGGCGAUCGGAGAAGUGGAGAAGUCGCUAUGAUCUAGCAACUAUCUUUGAUCAAAUCAUGUUUGUAUUCCAAUAAUUGGUUGCCUUGGCCUAUCAUUGCAGCUCCAGCGCAUAGGCACAUGUAAUUGUUCGGAAGCUCGGACCCUCUGGCGUUUUGUCGAGCGUUGGUGAUCGGGGAUGGUUGUUGGCUUGUUGCGCGCCUGCUGACUACCACCAAUGGAUCUGCAUCGACCUAGCGGUGGAGGGGACAAGAUGGGGUGGAUUUAAUGCUCUAGGAGCUGUCUUGAAUGACGCCAAACAAACCAGGCAAAACGUGUGGAAGAUUGCAACAAUACCUUGUCACAAGAAAAGAGGGAGCAGAUAAAUGCCCAGAGAUGAGCUACUUAUUGGAAGAAAAAAGAUCUGCUUAUCGAAGAUGAAAAUCUGCGUGCCCCUACGAUAGUACCCUUUGUUAAGGCAUUGAUAGAUGUGAAAGUUGCCAGUGCUCCCCCAUGUGAAUGGUCAGAGUAUUUGAUCUUAUGGUCGGAGGAUGGAUGCGAACACUUGUUUCUCCAGCAAUAACCGAAGUUUCAUCAUUCAGUGUAGUAGUUCUGGUUCUUCAAGUAGGAGAAACAGACAUGUAUGACAUGACACAACCUUGUUUUAUAUGUGUUGAACCACUUCGAUAUGUAAGAUCUUGCCUCCUCUAAUGUAUGAUGGUUUCAUCAAACUUUUCCUAGGCACUACCAA
Long non-coding RNA from Triticum dicoccoides, 1899 nucleotides. RefSeq lists it as uncharacterized. The transcript has 8 exons. The record is from RefSeq and is a predicted model, not a curated record. NCBI's taxonomy places the organism in Eukaryota, Viridiplantae, Streptophyta, Magnoliopsida, Poales, Poaceae.